Molecule: long non-coding RNA, 3624 nt
Organism: Heterocephalus glaber (naked mole-rat)
Lineage: Eukaryota; Metazoa; Chordata; Mammalia; Rodentia; Bathyergidae
Source: Ensembl
CUCGCCGCAGUGGUGUCGCCCGCAGCGCGUCGGCCCGCCCGGACCCACCCCAGAGGGCGCUGCGGGGUUCUGCCUCCAGUGGCAGGAGGUAGAGAUCACUGGAGCCCGAGUCCUACGUCUCGCUGGCUCAUCCUGUUUCACUAGCCCAGACUCUUCCUUUCAGACCUUGUGGUCUGGAUAAUUUGACGACAGAGCUGCUGGGAGCCAGAGAGGAAAUCUCGCCUCAGGAAACGAAAGGAAGUCUGAGCCACGCUUCGCAGAGCUGGACGGGAACCUGAGGGCUCCGGGCAGCAGGUUUUACAGAUGGUAACAGAAGCCAGCAGGGUGAGCAGCCGGCCUCCACGCAGACCCUGGGUGCCAGGCCGGCCGUCAUGAAAGGGUGCUGUGCGCGGCAGGAAAGGAUGGCGACUCCACCACGGCUGGCAUCAGAGGAGGAGAGGCCUGGGGCCGAUGUGUGAAGGGGCUGCCAAGCAUGGAUGGGGCACGCGGCCAGGCAGCUGUGCACGCAGGGUCCAGGCGGAAGGGCAGAUCCCCUGCUCGGGCGCUGAGGGCGACGUGGUGUCCGGGAGGCCCGAGCGGCCAGGGCAGCGCCCAGAGCUGGACCCAGGGCGCUGGCUUCCUGUCCCUCGUGACGUGACCUCCAGGCAAGUGCUCUCCCACUGUGCAGGAGGGAAGCACUGUCAGCCCUGCCUCCUUCCCACCAGGCUGUUCCCAAGGUCUGGGGACCUCCAGUGCGACUCUGGUAGGCAUGAGAAGCUGCUGCUCUGUGGAGUCCAGUGCUGCCAGGCGGCCUUGACAGGGCGGCUCCAGAGCGGGGGACGCCAGAACUGAGCCGCGUCCAUCCUGCCUGCACUGUGCAGGUUUCAGGGUGGCGGCAUGUGAGCGUCUCUCUCUCUCUCUCUCUCUCUCUCUCUCUCUCCCCCACACGCACACACGCACUCACCCCUAGUAAGAUAAAAACAAGGUGACAUCGAGGACAAAAACCACAAUGCGUCCCAUCUGCUUUGUUGGAGCUGACUUACAAGUUCGAUUUUGAAUUUCUUAAUACUCAAGUUAAAGAGGAAAAGUAAAAUAACAAGACAUAUGCCAACCCACAAGAUCAUGGCUCCCUAUGAGGCCACCACUCGGUCGGCAGGGACACAGGAGGGUGGUCAGGGUGGCCAGGAGGACGCCUGGGCCUCGGCUCGGGCCUGAGGGAGGGUCUGGCCAGCGCACGUGGCAGACCUUCUCCAAUGACCAGGGGACGUGCUUGGCCAGUUUUUCGUGGUAUUAGGGACUGAGCACAGGGACUCGAAAAUGUUAGGCAAGCACUUCGCCAGAGUUAUAUCCCUACCCUAGCGGUAUAUUCAUCGUUUAGUUUGGGGCUUUGGAGACACAGUCUGACUGUUGCCCAGUGGCCAGCCUGGCCCAGAACUUGCUGUCCUCCUGCCUUGACCCGAGUAGCUGGGCGCAGGCCACCUUCCUGCCUCAAGUGGCUGGUGGGGGUCCUCCAGUGGCCCCGAGCCCCAGCUGGCGGUCCUCAUUGGCUCUCCACAGCGCUCAGGCGACGCUCCUGGCCCAGAAAAUCAGCAAGAGGCCCCUCAGGCCCUGUGCCUCGCCUCGCCUCCUGUAAUCAGUAUGCCUCAGACCCGAAGCAGCAGGGAGACGGGGCCAGCUGCAGAGCCCUCUGUGCUGAGUACAGCCCGGCCUGCCACAGGGGGCCGCAGGGCUGCAGGCUGGGUUUGCUGGGCUCCUGUUUGAUCAGACAACAGAAUAAUCAGGGCCGCCUCCAGGUCCCCCUCCGCGGGCUGGGGAGCAGGACACAGGGCAACCGAAAGCAUCGCGAAAUCCGCCUGCGUGGGCCCGUGGCGGGCGGGGAGGAGCCUGUCUGGCCCUGUCGCCGCCCGGAAACGCAGACUCCUUUCCUGUAAUUGCGGUGAAACUGUCACCGAAGGUUCACUCUUCUGGCCGUUUCUGGACGCACAGCUCAGCGUCGUGAAGUAGCUCUCACUCGUGUGCAACACAAGCAAACGGGCUCCAGAGCCCCGCCCCUUCCCCAGGCGGCUCCACCGGAUAAACACCCCUCCCUCUACCUGCACCUGGAUGCCUCCUGCCUUCUCGCUAGAGCAGGACCACUCAGGACCACGUGACCCUGGACUCAGGCGGUGCCUUACUUCAUGUACCGCCCGGCCUUCACAGUUCCCUCACAGGGCAACGGGUGCCAGAAGUUCCUUCCUUUUCAGGGCCAAAUAAUAUUCCUGCCAUGUGUCUAUGCUGCCUUUUGUUUAUCCUUCGGUCUGCUCCUGCCUUUUGGCUGUUGUGAACAAUGCUGCAGUGAACACAGGGGUGCAUAAGCACCCACAAGAAUCCUGCUUUCCAUGCUUUGAGGCAUUCCCCGGGGGUGGGAUUGGUCGGUCACAUGGUAAUUGAUUUUUAAUUCUUUGAGAAGGAGACAGCACUUUUAAUUUUCUUUGGAGAAAACACAGUUUUGAAUGACUUGCUUCAUUGAUGGAGUCACUUUCCUGAGCAUCGGGACUCCCGGGUCCUGGUCCAAGUGCCCCCACUGAUUGCACCCUUUGGGAGUCGCCUGAGGCAGCAGGACGGCUGUCUCCUCCCCUGAGGGGUUUUCCUCCGCACUUCGGGGAACUGAGCCCGGGCCCUUUGCAGGGCAAGUGCCCUACCGCCGAGCGCACCCAGCUGUGAAGAUCUGUGUGCCAUGCACAGGUGUCUCUGCCCUGUCUGCAGGGGCGUCUGGGUCCUGGAAGUGCUGGGGAGAAUGCUGGUUCCUGUCAGUUUGGCAUAGUUUUCACUUUGUGUUCACUGACAAAAGAAAACCGAAAUGAGAGCGAGCAGAGAGAACCGGGGUUAAAGAGGGCCUUAGUCUGGCCAGGAUACCUGAAAUGGGCAGUUUGUCACAAGCAGAGUCGGGCUGAAAGCUGAAGAAUCACAGUUUGUAAUGUACUUGGUAUGUUUAUAGUGUACAGAAAAAUGAAGUAGUUCUUCAAAAAAGACGCCAAAGAACAGUGUUUCUGGUUUGAACAUUAUUCCUAUUAGUCCACUAGUCCUUGCAAGAGCUGCAACAUUGACAGUAAAUCAAGCGUAUUUUAAUUUACCAUGAGGCAGUGAAGAGAAAAUUUCCCCAACUGGUCCUCUGCCAAAGCAUUUCUAUGACCUCUCCACGACCAAACAGCUUCCAACUAUGGAACGGGCUCAGCCCGGGAGACGUCCACUGGGGCUGCUGGUGCGGCCUCGCUGCACUAGGGCCCGGGUGUGGGACAAGGGGGCGAUCUGGCCUUUUAGGAAUGAGGGGCCACAGCAGGCCUGUCACCCACGUGCACGGAUUGUCGGCAAGGACGUGUGGCAGGGACACUGUCUGGGAGAGCACACCAGCCCACUGUGCCCUCCCGCCCCACCUCCUGUGCCCAUGAGACACCCACUGGGACCUCAGGUGACAGUGGGUCACGUGUCCUGCUGCAACGCAUAGCACUCUAAAUUCUGAAAAUGUAAAUAUAUGGUGCUUCCCGCAAAGUGCGUUGAAAUAGUCGCCAACGUUCAAUUGAGCCUCUCUCUCUUUUUGGUCCCAGGAAUCGAACUCAGGGCCUGGCACUUGCUAGGCAGGUGCUGGGCUGCUGAACUACAUUCCCA